UACGUAGGGGGCAAGCGUUGUCCGGAAUUAUUGGGCGUAAAGAGCGCGUAGGCGGUCCGGUAAGUCGGUUGUGAAAGUCGGGGGCUCAACCCUCGGAUGCCGAUCGAUACUGUCGGGCUAGAGUCCGGAAGAGGCGAGUGGAAUUCCUGGUGUAGCGGUGAAAUGCGCAGAUAUCAGGAGGAACACCACUGGCGAAGGCAGCUCGCUGGGACGGUACUGACGCUGAGGCGCGAAAGCGUGGGGAGCAAACAGG
Molecule: ribosomal RNA, 253 nt
Filed under: uncultured bacterium
Lineage: Bacteria
Description: partial 16S ribosomal RNA
Rfam family: Bacterial small subunit ribosomal RNA
Source: RNAcentral